RNAcentral lists this ribosomal RNA (266 nucleotides) under uncultured bacterium. RNAcentral's name for it is "partial 16S ribosomal RNA". It matches the Rfam family "Bacterial small subunit ribosomal RNA", at positions 92 to 354 of the family's 1533-position model. The record is from RNAcentral.
CGACCGGCGCACGGGUGAGUAACACGUAUGAAACCUGCCCGUAGCAGGGGGAUAAGCGGAAGAAAUUCCGUCUAAUACCGCGUAACAACCCGAGGAGGCAUCUCCUCGGGUUUAAAGGAAGCGAUUCCGGCUACGGAUGGUCAUGCGUCGCAUUAGCUAGUUGGCGGGGUAACGGCCCACCAAGGCGACGAUGCGUAGGGGUUCUGAGAGGAAGGUCCCCCACACUGGUACUGAGACACGGACCAGACUCCUACGGGAGGCAGCAG